CAUAAUUUGUACUCAUUACUCAACCUUUGAACCAAGACAAAUAACAACUGAAGAUGACGAAAACUUUGAUAACUCUGAUGUUCGGUGCAGUACUGCUUUCGAUCUUAUAUAGUAAGCAUGGUCUUUUUUUCGUAACUUAGUAUUUUGUUUCCCUUACGUUGUUUUCUCAUGAAUGUCUCAAUCCCAUCGGCAUUUCCAGGUGCAUUAUCGGAAGGUCGUCUAUGCGUAGAUUUAUACAAGGUGCCACACUGCAACACGGUGGCUUGCAAGAAGUAUUGCCUGACGAUAUAUAACACUACAAAACUGUAUACUGCUAUAUGUGUUCCUUUCGAUCAUCCGGUUGAUAACUGUAUGUGUAUUUUGAAUAAUUGUCCUCCGGCCGCAGCAAAAUAAGCUUUAUUUGAAAUUGAUAACGAAAAAUAAUGAAAAUUGAUAGCAAAAUAAGCAGAGAUUUUGAAUUUAAAUUCUUGUCUGUCUCUGCGUUUAUUUGAAAUGGGAAAAUGAAAUUGAGGGUUCUCAA
This 520-nucleotide long non-coding RNA is filed under the name Olea europaea subsp. europaea. Lineage: Eukaryota; Viridiplantae; Streptophyta; Magnoliopsida; Lamiales; Oleaceae. The record is from RNAcentral.